This is an RNA transcript of Fragaria vesca subsp. vesca, 1769 nucleotides long. It is a transcript of the gene named UDP-glycosyltransferase 85A3-like, with no coding region annotated. Lineage: Eukaryota; Viridiplantae; Streptophyta; Magnoliopsida; Rosales; Rosaceae. The record is from RefSeq and is a predicted model, not a curated record. The transcript has 2 exons.
CCAACAAUUCAACAACAGCAAGCCAGUGCCACUCCCCAUAAGUAACCAGCAUGGCAGCAUCAUGUAGGCAAAGAUACACCCUUAGUUUUAGCAAACACAACAAUUUAAAUGGAUGUUGGUUGUGAUCACAAGCCUCAUGCCGUUUGUAUUCCAUCUCCAGCUCAGAGUCACAUCAAGAGUUUUCUUCAGUUUGCCAAAACCCUCCACCACAGAGGCUUUCACAUAACCUUUGUCAACACUGAAUUCAACCACAAGCGAUUUCUUAAAUCUCGAGGACCCAACUCCCUCGAUGGCUUACCUGAUUUUCGCUUUGAAGCCAUUCCUGAUGGCCUUCCAGAAUCAGAUGAAGAUGCCACCCAAGAGACCAAUUUGUUAUUUGAAUCCAUCAGAAAUCAUCUCUUGACUCCAUUUCGUGACCUCCUGUCAAAACUCAACAGUAGCACUAGUUCCCCAGUUACCUGCAUUGUUUCCGAUUUAUUCAUGUCCAGUUUUACCAUCACGGCUGCAGAAGAACAUGGAGUCCCUAUUGCAUUGUUGAGCACUAUUUCUGCUUCCGCUUUCAUGGGAUUCAGGAAAUUCCGAACUUUACUUGAGAAAGGACUUUUUCCACUUAAAGAUGAGAGCUGUUUGACAAAUGGGUUUCUAGACAACACAAUAGAAUGGAUUCCAGGAAAGAAAGAUAUUUGUUUGAAGUAUCUGCCUACUUUUUGUCGAACUACAGAUCCAGACGACAUCCUCUUCAACACCACCAUUGAAGCACUGGAAAACGCAAAUAAAACUUAAGCUGUUUUUCUUCUCACAUUUGAUGCUUUGGAAAAAGAUGCUCUGGAAGCUCUCUCCUCAUCUAUUUCUCCACCAAUUUAUUCAAUUGGUCCUCUCCAAUUGCUGCUAAAUCAAAUACCAGAAGACCCUUGGAAACCUAUGGGAUACAGUCUUUGGAAGGAGGAAAGAGACUGUCUCCAAUGGCUAAACUGCAAGCCACCAAACUCAAUUGUUUAUGUCAAUUUUGGAAGUAUUGUGGUUUUGACACCAGAACAGCUUCUCGAGUUUGGUUGGGGACUUGCGAAUACCAAGCUUCCUUUCUUCUGGGUUAUUAGGCCAGAUUUGGUUGUCGGAAAAUCAGCAAUCUUGCCACCAGAGUUUGAAGCUGAAACCAAAGACAGAGGCCUAAUAGCAAGUUGGUGCCCCCAAGAAGAAGUCCUAAACCAUCCAUCAGUGGGAGGGUUUUUAACACACUGUGGUUGGAAUUCAACCAUUGAGAGUAUUACAGCUGGAGUGCCAAUGCUGUGUUGGCCAUUCUGUGGAGACCAGCAAACAAACAGUUACAGUUGCUGUGAAUGGGGAAUUGGCAUGGAGAUCGACACAGAUGUCAAGAGAGACAAUGUGGAGAAGCUUGUGAAGGAGUUAAUGGAGGGAGAUAAGGGCGAGAAAAUGAGAAGCAAGUGUCUGGAGUGGAAGAAACUUCAGAGGAAGCCACUGCUCCGCAUGGUUCUUCAUCAAAAAAUUUGGAAAAUUUAGUGAAUCAAGUCUUAUUAAGAAAAAUCACUGAAUAAAGGUGUAGUACUAUGUGAAAGGAGCUAAAUUUGAUGGGUCAUUUCAUGGCAGGUUUCUUUUUCAUGUUAAUAGUUUCUUAAUAAAGUUAUCGUUUUUUUGUAUUCGAAAAAGAAGAAGAAAGGCACUGUAUUCCUCUGUUUAAUUAACUUGCAAAGAUUUUACUUGGCAUCCUAUGUAUUAAGAAUAACAUCGAUGGUUUAGUGACCACUGCUUAC